RNAcentral lists this long non-coding RNA (638 nucleotides) under Rattus norvegicus (Norway rat). RNAcentral describes it as "long non-coding RNA NONRATT023974". Lineage: Eukaryota; Metazoa; Chordata; Mammalia; Rodentia; Muridae. The record is from RNAcentral.
GUGAGGAGCGCCACAUUUACUGAGAUUGUGUGAACUGGAGCGAUGUUGGCCUGUACACCUCUAGACAAGGAAAGGCUUGCUUUAUUACUGAUCUAGCUGCAUGAUUUCCUCAAGUACUUGGCAAAGAAUUCUGCAACUCUGUUCAGUGCCAGUGAUUAUGAAGUGGCUUCUCCCGAGUACCACUGGAAAGCCGUGUGAGGUGCUCUCUCUCUCUCUCUCUCUCUCUCUCUCUCUCUCUCUCUCUCUCUCAUGCUUGGAUCUCGGUAAACAGUUUGGUAAUUAGUCCUUCUCUUGUUCAAAUGAUGCAAUUGAAGACAGUGUAUAACAGAGUUGAUGUUUGUUUUCUGUUUGAUUUUAAACUGAGAAAAUAAAAGGAGUUAACUGCUCCUUUUUUCUUUCCUGUUUUCAUUUCAAAGUUUCUACCAGUGUAUCAGUGAUGGACAAUGGAGAGACACGCUGUAGAGCGUUUGCCUAGUUGACAAAGCUGCUUUUGCAUGCUGGAGGUUCUGUUCCUUUGACACUGCACACUUUUAUAAUAUGUGUUAAUGCUCUAUGACAAAAACGCUCUGAUUCCUAGUGCCAAAGCUUCCCUUUAGUGUGUAUAACUGAGCACUCAUCCAUCUGUGCUCUUUUUCUUU